Long non-coding RNA from Bactrocera dorsalis (oriental fruit fly), 522 nucleotides. RefSeq lists it as uncharacterized. The record is from RefSeq and is a predicted model, not a curated record. The transcript has 2 exons. Lineage: Eukaryota; Metazoa; Arthropoda; Insecta; Diptera; Tephritidae.
AGAAGCAAAACAAGGUUUAAAAUGCAGUUAGAAAGAAAGAGUGCAAACCUUUUUUUCAAUGCUAUACCUGUACUUGGCUUCCUUCACAUGAUACAUUACACAUUUUCAAUUGGUUUAUUGCAUAUUUAUUCAAACUGAUUUAAAACAAAAAAUACAUAUUUACAAAAAAUUAUAGAUAGUUAAUAAAGGAGUACGCAACAAUACAACGAACGAGACACAAAGACAUACUAAAGUUGCGAAAUUCCUAACAUUCGUGGUUCCAUAAGUGAUGUAGAGUGAGAAAAACUAACGAUGAUCAGAAGUGCAAAGAGGUUUUCCAGUUGGGAAUGUUGACAAUGUUGGCAGUCCAAUUAAUUUUGCUCAGAAGUAGUUAUUUUACCAAGGGUGUCCAAUAACGCGACCAUGACCCAAGCCUACGAUUGGUCCGACAGGUCCGACGGGUCCCACAACAACAGUUGAGGCAAGACCGGGGACGAUGGCUGGUCCUAUGAUGCUUGGGUAGGCAGCAGCGAUGCACACCAA